This 1441-nucleotide ribosomal RNA is filed under the name uncultured organism. Its description in RNAcentral is "16S ribosomal RNA". It matches the Rfam family "Bacterial small subunit ribosomal RNA". The record is from RNAcentral.
GGAUGAACGCUAGCUACAGGCUUAACACAUGCAAGUCGAGGGGCAGCAUGGUCUUAGCUUGCUAAGGCCGAUGGCGACCGGCGCACGGGUGAGUAACACGUAUCCAACCUGCCGUCUACUCUUGGACAGCCUUCUGAAAGGAAGAUUAAUACAAGAUGGCAUCAUGAGUCCGCAUGUUCACAUGAUUAAAGGUAUUCCGGUAGACGAUGGGGAUGCGUUCCAUUAGAUAGUAGGCGGGGUAACGGCCCACCUAGUCUUCGAUGGAUAGGGGUUCUGAGAGGAAGGUCCCCCACAUUGGAACUGAGACACGGUCCAAACUCCUACGGGAGGCAGCAGUGAGGAAUAUUGGUCAAUGGGCGAGAGCCUGAACCAGCCAAGUAGCGUGAAGGAUGACUGCCCUAUGGGUUGUAAACUUCUUUUAUAAAGGAAUAAAGUCGGGUAUGGAUACCCGUUUGCAUGUACUUUAUGAAUAAGGAUCGGCUAACUCCGUGCCAGCAGCCGCGGUAAUACGGAGGAUCCGAGCGUUAUCCGGAUUUAUUGGGUUUAAAGGGAGCGUAGAUGGAUGUUUAAGUCAGUUGUGAAAGUUUGCGGCUCAACCGUAAAAUUGCAGUUGAUACUGGAUAUCUUGAGUGCAGUUGAGGCAGGCGGAAUUCGUGGUGUAGCGGUGAAAUGCUUAGAUAUCACGAAGAACUCCGAUUGCGAAGGCAGCCUGCUAAGCUGCAACUGACAUUGAGGCUCGAAAGUGUGGGUAUCAAACAGGAUUAGAUACCCUGGUAGUCCACACGGUAAACGAUGAAUACUCGCUGUUUGCGAUAUACUGCAAGCGGCCAAGCGAAAGCGUUAAGUAUUCCACCUGGGGAGUACGCCGGCAACGGUGAAACUCAAAGGAAUUGACGGGGGCCCGCACAAGCGGAGGAACAUGUGGUUUAAUUCGAUGAUACGCGAGGAACCUUACCCGGGCUUAAAUUGCAGAUGAAUUACGGUGAAAGCCGUAAGCCGCAAGGCAUCUGUGAAGGUGCUGCAUGGUUGUCGUCAGCUCGUGCCGUGAGGUGUCGGCUUAAGUGCCAUAACGAGCGCAACCCUUGUUGUCAGUUACUAACAGGUUCCGCUGAGGACUCUGACAAGACUGCCAUCGUAAGAUGUGAGGAAGGUGGGGAUGACGUCAAAUCAGCACGGCCCUUACGUCCGGGGCUACACACGUGUUACAAUGGGGGGUACAGAGGGCCGCUACCACGCGAGUGGAUGCCAAUCCCCAAAACCUCUCUCAGUUCGGACUGGAGUCUGCAACCCGACUCUACGAAGCUGGAUUCGCUAGUAAUCGCGCAUCAGCCACGGCGCGGUGAAUACGUUCCCGGGCCUUGUACACACCGCCCGUCAAGCCAUGGGAGCCGGGGGUACAAGAAGUGCGUAACCGCGAGGAGCGCCCUAGGGUAAAACUGGU